AUUUACUUCUCUUUAACAUGUACGAUCUCAACAUUUUUUAUGUACAUAACUGUUUUACGCAUAAAUAUUUUUAGGUUCUGAACCAUGUGAACCUAAUGAAGAUAUACUUGACGGUGUUUGCAAACUGGUGACUGAAUGUGAUUAUGCGUUAGAAAUAAUACAGAAAGCUCGCAAUCAUCCAUUUAGAAGAUGCGGUUUCAGUGGCGAAGUGGAGAUAGUAUGCUGUCCAUUAAGUAUUAGCGACAUGUUUCAGAAACCAAGAACUGAAUCUUCUAGACAUUUAAAACCCACACCUUCACCUGUAGAUUUUUAUUACGGUGGAGAAACAUUAAUACAAAGAAUAGCCGAGAAAGA
This is a long non-coding RNA of Melitaea cinxia (Glanville fritillary), 354 nucleotides long. RefSeq lists it as uncharacterized. The record is from RefSeq and is a predicted model, not a curated record. The transcript has 3 exons. NCBI's taxonomy places the organism in Eukaryota, Metazoa, Arthropoda, Insecta, Lepidoptera, Nymphalidae.